AUUGAACGCUGGCGGCAUGCCUUACACAUGCAAGUCGAACGGCAGCACGGGAGCAAUCCUGGUGGCGAGUGGCGAACGGGUGAGUAAUAUAUCGGAACGUGCCCGGUCGUGGGGAUAACGUAGCGAAAGUUACGCUAAUACCGCAUACGAUCUAAGGAUGAAAGCGGGGGGAUCGCAAGACCUCGCGCGAUUGGAGCGGCCGAUAUCAGAUUAGGUAGUUGGUGAGGUAAAGGCUCACCAAGCCAACGAUCUGUAGCUGGUCUGAGAGGACGACCAGCCACACUGGAACUGAGACACGGUCCAGACUCCUACGGGAGGCAGCAGUGGGGAAUUUUGGACAAUGGACGCAAGUCUGAUCCAGCCAUUCCGCGUGCAGGACGAAGGCCCUCGGGUUGUAAACUGCUUUUGUACGGACGAAAAGGUUUGUCUUAAUACGAUGAGCUCAUGACGGUACCGUAAGAAUAAGCACCGGCUAACUACGUGCCAGCA
RNAcentral lists this ribosomal RNA (489 nucleotides) under uncultured bacterium. RNAcentral describes it as "bacterial SSU rRNA". It matches the Rfam family "Bacterial small subunit ribosomal RNA", at positions 30 to 513 of the family's 1533-position model. The record is from RNAcentral.